This 5915-nucleotide long non-coding RNA is filed under the name Marmota monax (woodchuck). Lineage: Eukaryota; Metazoa; Chordata; Mammalia; Rodentia; Sciuridae. The record is from RNAcentral.
CUGGAAAGUUUUUCCAGUGGGUUACCCCUGGGACACGGAGAAGUACAUGUUCUGUAAGAGUUAAAUUGAGAUUGAAGUUCCAAAGUGGCUCAAGGAAGGGGGAAAGUGGGAGUAUCAAGGAAGGUGGUGAAAUAAAGUUGGGAGCAGAGACAGGACUGGAUCGCAGGAGCCCACUCAGAUAGCAGACUCUGCAUCUGGCUCCUCAGCCUCCACUGGGAGCCCCUCAGCAAGACUGUUACGGGGACACAAGCAGGUGGAAAACCUCACAAGACUCAGCCAACUCUGUUGGCAUCAUGUCUUGCUCCAAGGACUCAGAUGAGCUUAUUUUCUUUGUGAAUGGAAGAAAAGUAAGUGUUCUGCAUUGUUAUUGCUAAAUUUACAUAGAGAAAGGAAGUGUGACAGAAAUAAUCUUUUUUUUUUUAAGGUUGCCAAAGACGGUAUUAGGUUCAGGUGGGCAACCUGUGACAAAUCCAAACCAAUCCUUAUCUGUAGUUCCUCGGAGAGAGAGGGAAAGGGGAAGGGAGGAAUUGAGAAAGGGGAGAAGAAGGAGAAGCUGGGGCCAGAAAGAGAGGAUCUCAUAAUACAUAUAAAAUGUGUUAGGAUUACUAGAGGGAAAGCACUUGGUUAUAUUAAUGUCUUUAGACCACAUUUUGUAAGAGUGUUUGCAUUCAUGUUAGGUUAUGGCUUUUCUUUUUUAGGACCCUAUUUCCCCUCCUUUCCACCUCCUCCCCCAGUUCUGACUGUAGCUUCUACAUCCCCUCUACCACUGCUGACACAUGACCAUGCAUAAAUUAGGAGUUUAAACCUUCAGAUCACUUGCAAAUAAUGAUGCAAGUUUUGACCAGCAAGAAUGGAAGGGAUGUGCCCGAAGGGCAGAGAUAAACUUCACAGGUUACAUUUUAACACUUUGCUUCUUUAAGCAGAGAUUCUUAACUCCCUUAAGAGAAGAAGAUAAAUCAUUUUCUGGUCUCAAAUUUUUUUUUGAAGUUCUUGAGAUUUAGCCAAGGUGUAAUCUAUGACUGGAAUGUUCUUUGAUUUCCACCGUCCUUGACGUUGUAUGUGAUGUGCAACCCAAUAUUUUUGUUUUCAGCCCUAUUGGCAAAGAGGAAAAGGCAGUCAAAGUUUAACUUGAGCUUAAUGGUACUGUGUGCUGUGCACACCAAACACGGACUAGGAAAUGAAAUGAAGGCUCGGCGUGGCCAUGUAGUGUGCCCUAGGUCACUCAGCUAACAAACACUGCGGGGACCUUGGCUUUCAUCUGUCUGCUUGCAAUGUUUGUGUCCUCUCCCCUGCUCCAUGUCUUAUCUCCUAAGGAGAUGGCUGGUCUACAAUCCCCCACUAAAGGGAGGUGCCUGUGGAUUUCCUGGGUAUUGAAAUAAUUCUGUUUGUCCACUGCUUCCUUGUUCGCUUGCCAACUUUGAGUGAAGAACAGAGAACAAAGAGGGUAUUUUGCCGGUGGCCAUGAAAGCUAAAAAUCAGCUCAGUUCCCCACUCCUUUCAUCUAACUGUAUGAAGGCAAGAGUUUUAAAAGCGUAUAGCUCUUCAAUAUUUCAGACCUUUUUAUUGUUUUCCUGAAACCAAGGUGGUUUUAGGAUGCAAAUUCUUGUUGGUUAUCCUCUGAAACAAAGCCAAACACUUGUCCUGCCAAAAUAAAGCAGAAAGCAAUACAGUAUUAUGUAAUUUUAUAAUUGUAGAGUGAUGUUUGAUCAGGUCAGGCAAAUAAGAUCAACAAAUAUAUUCUAAAUGAUUUUUACUAUUCAUAAAUAAUAAUAGGACAAAGGAAAAUUGCCUCAAUCUGUAAAAUCAUUUCCUGUAUGCACGUCAUUGAGAGGAAUGCAGACCCCGGAAUACAUUUAUUACUCUAUCUGAGAAAACCAUAUCCUUUUGUUUGUUUGGGAAAGCAAAGCAAAUUAAAAACUCUGGUAACUGAACUUUUUUCCUUCUAUUAUGCUUCCUUACAAACAUCUCGAUGUGUGUGGUAAUUGAGUAAAGUCAGUGGCUUGUCUUACAAAUGGAAUGGCAUGUGGGCAGUGGUUCCCAGUCUAAGUGAGGAUAAUGGUCACCAGUGGAUAGUGUUUAAAACAUGGAUUUUUCCAGCUCUGCUUCCAGGGAUGUUAAAUCACCCUGUCCCUUGAUGGGGACCCUCAACUUCUUGGUCAGCAUCAUAUUUAACUGAGGCUCCAGCAUCGGUCUCCAGGGCCAACGCCAGGCUACCUGUGAACACAUGCUCCUUGCCUGGACUGCCCUUCCAUGCAACUGAAGGUUCACAAACAGGAGCUCUGAGAGGCGAAACCAGUUUGAGUUUCCCAAAGGCGAGCCUCAGUGUAUGUCUUGCCAAUCUGCCUCCUGGUGGUUAUCCUGAUUGAUUCCCAAACUUGAAUCACAGGAUAAAGAUGAGCAUAUGCUAUAGGGUGGUCCCUGGGGCAAAUUAAACCACAUCUACACCCACACAAGAAAUGAGAGCCAGAAGGCCGAGAAAGACCCUGGCAGACUUUGUUUUUUGUUUGUUGUGUAUUUGUGUAUUUUAAUACCCAAAAUGUUUUAAAAAUAUGCCCUUAGAAGCUAAAUGGGCAGCAUCCUGAGUGUGCUGUCACUCAUUCUUUCCACUUUGUCAUUUUCCACAUUCAUAUAAUGAGGUAAAUGUACCAAAACAACAUUGGGGCCUUUCCAGCUCCACCCAGAAAACCAUCUCUAAUUCACUGCAUCCCUUCUGUCCUCUCCAUCACCAAGUCAAGUAUAAAUUUAAAGUCAAGGCAUCUUGUUUAAAAGAGGUGGUAUUGUAGAGGAUCCAAUUAUAGUGGGAAUCAUCUGUUCUCAAUGACUUCCAUGGCUUUUAGAUUACUUUUUUCUCUUCUGUGUGGAAAGAAAAAAAAAGGAUAGCCCUGAAUAAAAGUCAAAAUUGGAGUUGUUAUGGUUUGGAUGUGAGGUGUCCCCCAAGAGCUCAUGUGUGAGACAAUGCAAGAAGGUUCAGAGAAGAAAUGACUGGAUUAUGAGAACCUCAACCCAAUCACUGAAUUGAUCAGUGAUGGAAUUAAUUGAGUGGUAACUGAAGGCAGAUGAGGUGUGGCUGGGGGAGAUGGGCUUUGGGGGCUUGGCUUCGGGGUAUACAUUUGUAUCUGGCAAGUGGAGUCUCUCUCUGCCUUUUGAUUGUCAUGUGAGCCACUUCCCUCGGCACACUCUUCUGCCAUGAUGGUCACUUAGAGCCCCCAAGGAAUGGAGCCAGCCUUCUAAAGACUGAGAUCUCUGAAAUCGUGAUCCCUCAAAUAAAACUUUUCCUCCUCUAAAGUUGUUUUGGUUGGGUCUUUUAGUAAUAGCAGCAAAAAGCUGACUAAAACAGGAGGCUCUCUAAACCAAGAAAAGAAACAGGACUUGCUUCAAACUGCCAAGAGGUCUGUGUCCCUGACCUGGAAUUGGCUGAGGCUGAUGAUUUUCCUCCAUGGCAAGUGGCUGGCAUCCGUUGGUUGGUAGGUCAAGGUGUGGUUUCUUAAGAGAUCCCACAUUCUAACUGAUUUAUACUUGAGCACCAAAGCUUGUAGGGCAAGCAAGGUAUUUCAAGAAGUCAUUGAAAUUGCGCCUGUCCUGAAGUCAUUUUUCCCCUAUGUGAAAAUUUAAGGUUAAGGAUGGACAGAGUUAGUUCCUCUUUUUUCCUUGACCAUAACCCUUCCAGUCCAACUCACAGGGAUGAAGUAUGGCUGUGGAGGGCAGUGGCACCUGUACAGCCAUGAUCUUAAAUUGCAACCACAUCUCCCAGAAGAUCCGGUAUCCUUCCUCCAAGACUAGUCCGUGCAACUGAAUCCUAUGUUGAUUUUCCAUGGAGUUUAUUCCUGGCACACUUUCGCCCAUGUCACACUCAACAAAGAAAGCUGAACUAUCUCAUCUUUUAUGAGCUAGAGCAAAAUUAACUAUCUUACUUGUUGAUAAUUGGAGAAAAGAGGGACAGGAUUGUACUUACUUCUGCUAUCAAACUUGACACUAGUUCUUGGCAUCCUCCUUUUACAAAUAAGGGAAACUGAGGAUCUAAGGGAAUUUGUAUUUUUCACCAAAGUUAUAGAACUAGUGAGAGAGCAUAAAACCCAAGACCAUUAGACUGAAAACCCCAGAUUCUUCUCUUUGCAAGGUCUGCCAAGGACAGAUUUGAAGCCUACUGCCCCACCCUUUCUACUAUUCCUUCUGGAAACAGAUAACCAAGUUCAGGGCCAAACUCAAUUUCUCUCAUUCUCCUCCUGAUAGGUACAAUGCACCUCAUAUGCAUGGAACCCUCUGAGAAUUUGGUGAAAUGCCUUGUUGUCUUUAUUAUUCAUCCAACCAAUAUUUGUUGAGGUACCCCUUCCCUAAGUACUGAGAACCAAAGUUACCUGCACUCAAUUGUUGGAUGACUUGCUUUGCUGGUGGUCCCAUUGAACUUCUUCCCUAUGCCUCCAGAGUCUUUCUAAAAUAAUACAUUACCUAGAUUGUUUGAAGGGAACAAGCUAAUUCUUUGACCAGUCGUCACAACUGACAAACUGAAAUGGACAUAGGAACAAAUAAAAAUUCUAUUCCUGAGAUAUUUUGUUAACAAUAUAGUUUUGGGAGAUAAAUGGCUUUCUUAAUUCCAGGUAAUAGAAGUUUAUUUUUAAGUGACCAUACUUAAAUCGAAAAUCAUUGUGAUGACUCAGCUUUAACUUGUACUCAGUUAUGUUUGUGUCAAAGCAAUUAAAUAUAUAUCAUCUAAAUACAUAUUUUUCUUUCUUAUCCCUCAGAAUGCCACUGUUGUCUUUGCCAAUUCUUUUCAGCUUCCCUGUGGGAACUCUGAAGUCACUUCUCUGUGGCUGCCUGCCUGGUGCCCAUCUGUUCUCUCUAUGGGGCUGCUGUCACUACGGUAGAAAGCAAAGGAAGCACCAAAAGCAGGAUUCAUCCUGUUCAGGUAAGAGCAUAUUUUAACACAUUUAGGAUAAACAUUGGUUUAGGUAGCUUCUUUAACUGUCCAGACUUUCGCUUAUAGUUUUAGAGGACACAGAUUGUUGUAGGGACAGACGAGGCAAGGCAUCAAAGAUUCUAGGAAACAGUUUUAUUUGGCUGCAGCCAGGCUCAGAGGGCACAGCUUUUGCUGUAAUCAAUCAAUUCCCUGAACCCUGAGUUCAGGUAGUUUCAGAGUUUUAUACCCAGCAUGUAAGGGGAGGGGCUCAGAAGUUCGCUUCCCCCCCCCCCCCGACUGUUUUUGGGCAAGUUAACCCUUCAAGGACAAUACUUGAGAAGGGGAGAGCUUCUCCCCCCUCUCUUUCCUGCCCCUGCCAGCUGUUACCAUGGAGCCCAAUUGAUAACUUAUCUUAAAAAUAUAGACAUCUCUGUGAAGCCCAUCUCAAGGCCAGAGGCCUUGUUUGCACAUUUCUACAAACUACUGGAUACAUUUGUGAAGACUAGUAAGGGGGUGUCCAGCCCCUGGAGUGCUGAUUUCUUCCUGGCCAGUGGCCAAGCAAGAUAGGGCAACACGGAAAUAGGAAGUUUAUCUACAUUGAACUCUUUUGCAGAGACUCUUGCUGACAGUCCUAAAAUCAGCCAUGGUGACAAUUAACUGGAGAAGCCCAGGUAAGACUUUUCUGUGGAGAAAGGGUGCUACUUCAAGAUGGCAGGCUAAGACCUCUGUCCCCUUUAUAAAAAGAAAUAUUGCCCUUUUCUUAAUUUUCUUUUCCUUCUGCAGCUUUAUUUACUUAUUUAUUUAUAUUAUAUCUCCACAGAACUAUAGAGAAGCUAGUAAAGAGGUCAUGGCUCCAGCCUGAGUCCUUUCAGACCAUCUCUUGACCACAAGGAGGAAUCUUCCUUCCAGGAAUGUUUUGGAUUCUACCACAAAGACACAGCAGGGGGGAAAAUCACACUUAUCUUCAUUUCUGUAAUAAAGUGAGAAAAACAAAGAUGCAUAUUCUUUGUAUGGUCUGUGU